Molecule: unclassified non-coding RNA, 568 nt
Filed under: Hevea brasiliensis (rubber tree)
Lineage: Eukaryota; Viridiplantae; Streptophyta; Magnoliopsida; Malpighiales; Euphorbiaceae
Source: RNAcentral
UGAUCUUCAAGAAUGUAUGAAAGGAUUUUUGUGGCCGAAGAUCGUAUAGCGUCCGAGGAAACUUUUCCAAAAACCCAAGGAAGCAGAAUGCCAGACCACUUUUGGCUCUCUUCAAGAGAUAAAUGCGUAUCCCCAGUAGAAAGUAACUCCAUAGCCCUUGCUAAUGCUUCUUGUACUUGCUUGUAUUUUGUUGUCUUCUUAGUUGUAUCUCUCAUCAGCUCAAGACCCUUUUCCAUCACUAUCUUCCGUGCCUCUGGGCUCCUCUCAACAGAAAGCAAAAAAGCAGAUAAAGCCACCUGGGCCAAAGGAAUAUCAUCAUUUUUACUUGCCUGAGAAAUAGUUGUGAGAAGACUGCAACUCCAAUCAGAAAUGGAAUCACUUAUGGGCAGAUGUCGGUCCUCUAAUAGCAACCGGGCUACCAAGCUUCCAUGCCAUUUCACAGAUCUCUCAGGUGCCAUUAAGGCAGUCAUGACAGCUUGCCCGUCUUGGUCCAGUUCCUGAAUAUGGGAUCUAUUGCCCUCAGAUGCCAUUGCCCAAUUAGCUAAUGCCCAUGCAGCAAAGGGCACAG